UCAUCUAAUUUCGAUGAAGGCAGAAGCAAAAAAAAAAAAAAAAAGAAAAAAAAAAGAGACCACUCUCUAUGAUCUCUCUCUCUCUAACUUCUUAGAUGAAACUUGAGUCCUCUGUGAUUUCCAAUGGCGAUCUGCUUUGCAUGUAGAGAAAGAAGAUGAAAAGGAAUAAGGACACAAGCAUGUACCGUGGUUCGACUAAAAAUGAGCCUACAUCCACGGGAAUAUCAAAUCCUUGGAGAAUUUUUCUUUCAGAUGAGUACAAGCUCUAAUUUUUGACUGUAUUGUUUUCUUCUGAUUUCCCUCUUUUAUACGGUUAAGAGAGAGAUCAGUUACAUGUAUGAAUUUAAACAGAAAAAUAAACUGGGAUAAAUAGUCAUUGGAUUUACUUUUACAAAUCUGUAUCUUGAAUCCAACUCUGUAAAUUUCUUCAAGCAUCUUCUAGCUCUAACUUGUCCUAUCCUUUUUCAGGUAGAUUGAAGCCUAUCAGUUCGAAACAUCUUUGAGGCUUGAGCUUCGAUACUAGUUUUGUGAGUGUGUCAGUAGCGUUAUCCGUGUUUUCAGGGCUGAUAUGAUUGAGUCCGUGGUUAAAGAUUCUCCGCCAUAUUUCAGUGCACGCUUCGCCUUUCUACAAGAUUCAGGUUGUAUGUCAAAGACUUAGAAGGAUUCAUCUUGUAGGUGAAGAAUUUCUCCCGUAGUGAUCGAAGCUGGAAGUUUUGAUGGAUCAAUGAGGUCCCUAUGAGCCUUUUGCUAACCGAAGGCUUUGAUUUUGGUCUUACAUAGGGCAAAAUUACCCUUUCCAUCAAACUUUUCAAUCUCAACUCUUGCCAUUGCCAUUUUAGGCCCAAUUUUUUUGAUGAACCACAAGAAGAGAGUAGCCCAUGAAUGCUUGAAGGUCCAAGUAACUCAAGUUGGUUAGGUGAAACAAAAGGAGGAGAGUUACCCACGUAGUCAGCUUGAAGGUUAAACACGUGAGCACAAUCAAUACUGACCAUGGAUAGAAGAGUCUCAUAAACAAGAAUAUAUACGAGGGCCACAUCUUUCAGUACGCCAUUUAUGAUCCAAUUAAAUACUCUGGAUUUACCGUUGGUGGUGUCGAUUGAGCUCGGGAGAGGAAGAUUGUGGUGGAGUCUUCAAACGUUGUAUUUUCUAUCCCUUUUGCAUGUUUAUUCUUGUUUUUAUUGCAAUUAGAAUGUUGUUGAUUUCAUCCCUUCCACUAUGCAUGUGUUCUUAUUGUUCCAUCAGUAAUAGUGUUGUAUAAAGAAACUAUUCAUUUCGUGAUCCGGUCUUAUACAAACUCUUUGUAUAGGAUACCCCCACUCACAUGUCUCCACAGGAUCAGAUCAUUUGUAAUACUUUACAAUAAUUGUAACAACUACAAAGCGGGUUGUAUUCAUAAUGUUAC
Molecule: RNA transcript, 1402 nt
Organism: Benincasa hispida (wax gourd)
Lineage: Eukaryota; Viridiplantae; Streptophyta; Magnoliopsida; Cucurbitales; Cucurbitaceae
Source: RefSeq, a predicted model, not a curated record